Molecule: ribosomal RNA, 2760 nt
Filed under: Triticum aestivum (bread wheat)
Lineage: Eukaryota; Viridiplantae; Streptophyta; Magnoliopsida; Poales; Poaceae
Description: partial small subunit ribosomal RNA
Source: RNAcentral
AUGGGCGUCCUUGACUCUUGGCACAAGGAAGAAUGCUGCCAAUGGAGUGGCGUCAAGUGCAGCAACCGAACCGGCCAUGUCCUUAGGCUUCAUCUUCGUAAUCUGCAUGUGGACACGGUCCCGCUCAAUGGAUUGAGCAUCGCUGGAUACUACAGAGACACAGCUUUGGUUGGCCAGAUAAGUAAUUCUUUGCUCUCCAUGGAUCGUCUUGUGCACCUUGAUCUUAUUAUGAAUUAUCUCGAGGGCCCAAGUGGCCGUAUGCCGCAGUUCUUGGCCUCUGUGACGAGAUUGAGAUAUCUCAACCUCUCCGGCGUACCAUUUUCUGGCAGAGUGCCCCCUCAGCUCGGCAACCUCUCAAAUUUGCAGCAUCUUGACCUCUCAAGGAAUGAUCGUAUGUACUCAAAAGAUAUUUCAUGGGUAGCACGCAUCCCUAAUUUGCAGUCUCUUGGAAUGAAUGGGGUAAACCUCAGCACAAUAGUUGAUUGGCCUUAUGUCGUCAACAUGGUCCCUUCUUUGAAGGCCCUCGAUCUUGGGGGUUGCUCUCUUCAAAUCGCAAAUCAUUCACUCCCACAUAUUAACCUCACCAAACUGGAGAAGCUUGAUCUCUCCGGCAACAGUUUUGCCCACCCAAUGGCAAGGAGUUGGUUUUGGAGUUUGACAGGCCUCCGACAUCUUUACCUUGCCGACACUCAACUAUACGGUCAAGCUCCUGAUGCACUGGCACAUAUGACAUCCCUCCAAGUCCUUGAUUUGUCAGUUAAUAAUAACAUGGUGAUGAUGAAUACAAGCUUCAGAAACCUAUGCAAUCUGAGAAUCCUGGACCUUUCUUCUUGUAGAAUUAAUGGAAAUAUAAAGGAUAUUAUAGGGAGGAUGCCCCAAUGUCCCUUGAACAAACUACAGGAGUUACGUUUGCGCUACACCAAUAUUACCGGAAUCAUGCCGGAUCAGACAGCACAUUUGACCAGCUUAUCCAUUCUUGACAUCUCUUAUAACAACCUAAGUGGACACAUACCACGAGGGGUUGGGCUGCUCUCUAGUUUAAGCAUCCUUGAUCUCUCUAACAACAAUCUCAAUGGACCUGUGCCAUCUGAGAUCGGCAUGCUCGGCAAUUUGACCUUUAUGGAUCUCAGCAGGAACAACUUGAUUGGUGACUUCACUGAAGAACAUUUCACAAGUCUAACGAGGCUAAAGGUGUUGCGUUUAGGUCGGAAUUCUUUGAGACUUACAUUUGGCCUCGAUUGGAUACCACCCUUUAGUUUAGAAGUCGCAGAUCUUGGCUCUUCCCAACUGGGCCCUUCGUUUCCUGCAUGGCUUCAGUCUCAAGUGGACAUUUGGCUGAUGGAUAUAUCUAGCACAGUUAUAGUUGAUAGGCUUCCUGACUGGUUCAACACGACAUUUGCAAAGGUCAGAUAUCUAGACAUCUCCAACAAUGAAAUAAGUGGCAGGUUGCCAAGAAACAUGGAAUUCAUGUCAAUGGAAAAUUUCUUUAUCAAUUCAAAUAAACUAACCGGUGAAAUCCCCAACUUACCAAGAAAUAUUACCACCUUGGACUUGUCUGGAAACUCUUUAUCCGGAAAUUUGCCAUCAAACAUUGGGAUUACAUAUUUGAGUUCAUUAUGGCUACGCUCCAAUCAAAUAACUGGCCGUAUUCCUAAAUCUCUCUGCAAAGUGGAAGCCUUGAACUCCUUGGACUUAAGCAACAAUCUUUUGGAGGGACAACUUCCUCAGUGUUUUGGGGUGAUGGACAUUGGCUUUCUCAUGUUGAGUAACAAUAGAUUCUCUGGCAACUUCCCAUCGUUUCUAAAAAGAUUGAGACAAUUGAAGUCUCUAGAUCUAUCACAUAAUAGUUUUUCCGGAAGGUUGCCAUUGUGGAUUGGAGAGUUGGCUGAAUUAAGAUUUCUGGGGCUAAACCAUAAUACAUUUUCUGGAGAAAUCCCACCUACCAUCUCAAAUCUUAGUCACCUUCGCCAUCUGAACCUAGCAGGCAAUGGCUUAUCAGGUGCCAUACCGUGGCAUAUGUCAAAUAUCACGGCCAUGAUAGGAAUGGACAAAAGCAAUUAUGAGAAUGAGCUAUUUUUUGACGGUUACUUGGGUACGUUCCAUACACUUGAUUUUUCCUCUGCGGUCAUCAAGGGACGAGAACUUAAUUAUAGUUCUGGCAUUUGGGAUUUGGUGAGCAUUGACCUAUCUUUCAACCAAUUAACUGGGGUAAUACCAGAAGAAAUAGCUGCUCUUGAUGCAUUGAUAAACUUGAAUCUAUCAUGGAACCAAUUGAGUGGGAAAAUCCCAAAUAAGAUUGGGGCCUUGCAGGCAUUGGAAUCACUUGACCUCUCAAGGAGCAUGCUUUCUGGCGGAAUCCCUUCGAGCCUAUCAGAUAUAACCUAUUUGAGCUACUUGGACCUGUCUGAUAACAAUCUAACAGGGAGAAUACCAUCAGGACGUCAGCUUGACACCCUCUACACACAGCAACCUUCCAUGUACAGCGGCAACAGUGGUCUUUGUGGGUUUCCUCUUCCAAUCAGUUGCCCGGGAAAGAAUGCAACAAGGAAAGAUGAUCAAAAAAGGAAUGAACAUUCCUUUGAGCCAAUGACCUUUUAUUUUGGACUUGCUCUGGGAUUUAUUCUGUGUCUCUGGGUGGUGUUUUGCAUCUUGUUGUUUAAGAAAGCAUGGAGAACUGCUUAUUUCUGCAUGGUUGACAAGACAUAUGAUCAGAUGUAUGUGUUUUCCGUUCUUACAUGGAAAAGCUGGGCUAGAAAGUGA